UUUGUAGAAUGAACCGGCGAGUUACGAUCUGAUGCAAGGUUAAGCAGCAAAUGUGGAGCCGCAGCGAAAGCGAGUCUGAAUAGGGCGUUGAGUAUUUGGUCGUAGACCCGAAACCAGGUGAUCUACCCUUGGUCAGGUUGAAGUUCAGGUAACACUGAAUGGAGGACCGAACCGACUUACGUUGAAAAGUGAGCGGAUGAACUGAGGGUAGCGGAGAAAUUCCAAUCGAACUUGGAGAUAGCUGGUUCUCUCCGAAAUAGCUUUAGGGCUAGCCUCAAGUGAUGAUUAUUGGAGGUAGAGCACUGUUUGGACGAGGGGCCCCUCUCGGGUUACCGAAUUCAGACAAACUCCGAAUGCCAAUUAAUUUAACUUGGGAGUCAGAACAUGGGUGAUAAGGUCCGUGUUCGAAAGGGAAACAGCCCAGACCACCAGCUAAGGU
RNAcentral lists this ribosomal RNA (439 nucleotides) under Staphylococcus sp. HMSC062B11. Its description in RNAcentral is "bacterial LSU rRNA". It matches the Rfam family "Bacterial large subunit ribosomal RNA", at positions 607 to 1045 of the family's 2925-position model. Lineage: Bacteria; Bacillati; Bacillota; Bacilli; Caryophanales; Staphylococcaceae. The record is from RNAcentral.